GGUGAACCUGCGGAAGGAUCAUUAUGAAUUGCAGGACGUUCUCUUUAGAAGUCCGACCUCUUCAUUUCCUUACACCGUGCAAAAACUUCUUUUUACACCACUUUUUACUCUUGAAGUAUUAGAAUGUAAUCAGUCUCUUAAAUGAGCAUAAAAUAAAUAAAACUUUCAGCAACGGAUCUCUUGGCUCUCGCAUCGAUGAAGAACGCAGCGAAAUGCGAUACGUAAUGUGAAUUGCAGAAUUCAGUGAAUCAUCGAAUCUUUGAACGCACCUUGCACUCUUUGGUAUUCCGAAGAGUAUGCCUGUUUGAGUGUCAUGAAAUUCUCAACCCCUCUAUUUUGUAAUGAAAUAGACGUGGGCUUGGUUUAUGGUUGUUGUCGGCUUAAGUCGGCUCGACUGAAAUAAACGAGUAACCCAUUUGAAAUAGACGGCUUGACUCGGCGUAAUAGUUAUUUCGCUGAGGACGUCUUCUUCAAAAGUCAGAGGUGCUUCUAAUGCAUUGAAUUAUACUUUAGAGCUCAAAUCAGGCAGGACUACCCGCUGAACU
Molecule: ribosomal RNA, 545 nt
Filed under: uncultured Erythrobasidiales
Lineage: Eukaryota; Fungi; Basidiomycota; Cystobasidiomycetes; Erythrobasidiales
Description: eukaryotic LSU rRNA
Rfam family: 5.8S ribosomal RNA (bases 161-314)
Source: RNAcentral